GCGGGUAUAAGUUUCAACACUUGGGAAGACGUGAGCGAGCGUUGUGACGUGGAUGGUUUGGGUCUAAAAAAGCCAUAGUAAGAGUUAGUUGGAGUCGUGUAGGCGAUACUUGUUGCAAUUAACAAGGAGGAAAAUCAACGUAAAAAAUAAAAGAAUGUGAAAAAGUGGUGCAACACGAGAACUUCCCANGAGGUCACCCAUCCUAGUACUACUCUCACCCACGCACGCUUAUCUUCGGAGUUUUGAUGGUAUCUGGUGCAUUAGUGCUGGUAUGAUUGCACCUUAAGUAUUGCACCAACAAUGUAUAUAUGGUUUCGAUAGCGGGUAUAAGUUUCAACACUUGGGAAGAUGUGAGCGAGCGAUGUGCGUGGAUGGUUUAGGUCCGAAAAAGCCGUAGUAAGAAUUAAUUGGAGUUGUGUUGGCGGUACUUGUUGAAAUUAACAAGGUGGAAAAUCAACGUAAAAAAUAAAAGAAUGUGAAAAAGUGGUGCAACACGAGGACUUCCCAGGAGGUCACCCAUCCUAGUAUUAGUCUCGCCCAAGUACGCU
This 548-nucleotide long non-coding RNA is filed under the name Vigna radiata. Its description in RNAcentral is "long non-coding RNA (VRAD_LNC004744)". The record is from RNAcentral. Lineage: Eukaryota; Viridiplantae; Streptophyta; Magnoliopsida; Fabales; Fabaceae.